Molecule: ribosomal RNA, 451 nt
Filed under: uncultured bacterium
Lineage: Bacteria
Description: SSU rRNA
Rfam family: Bacterial small subunit ribosomal RNA
Source: RNAcentral
AGGAUGAACGCUGGCGGUAUGCUUUACACAUGCAAGUCGUACGAGAGUUUUUAACUCAAGUGGCGGACGGGUGAGUAACACGUAAGAAUUUGCCUUUAGGAGGGGGAUAACAACUGGAAACGGUUGCUAAUACCCCAUAUGCUUUCGAGUAAAAUGGAUUUUUCCGCCUAAAGAGAAGCUUGCGGCUGAUUAGCUUGUUGGUGAGGUAAUGGCUUACCAAGGCGACGAUCAGUAUCUGGUUUGAGAGGACGAUCAGACACACUGGAACUGAGACACGGUCCAGACUCCUACGGGAGGCAGCAGUGGGGAAUUUUCCGCAAUGGGCGAAAGCCUGACGGAGCAAUACCGCGUGAGGGAUGACGGCCUAUGGGUUGUAAACCUCUUUUUCAGGGAGGAAUCAAUGACGUGUACCUGAAGAAUAAGCAUCGGCUAACUCCGCGCCAGCAGCCGC